RNAcentral lists this transfer RNA (73 nucleotides) under Bacteroidota bacterium. RNAcentral's name for it is "Bacteroidetes bacterium (marine metagenome) tRNA-Lys". It matches the Rfam family "tRNA". From Rfam's summary of the family: Transfer RNA (tRNA) molecules are approximately 80 nucleotides in length. Lineage: Bacteria; Pseudomonadati; Bacteroidota. RNAcentral also lists the same sequence under 1 other name. The record is from RNAcentral.
GCGCCAUUAGCUCAAUUGGUAGAGCAGCGGACUCUUAAUCCGGAGGUUGAAGGUUCAAGUCCUUCAUGGCGCA